GAUGAACGCUGGCGGCGUGCCUAAUACAUGCAAGUCGAGCGAACGGACGAGAAGCUUGCUUCUCUGAUGUUAGCGGCGGACGGGUGAGUAACACGUGGAUAACCUACCUAUAAGACUGGGAUAACUUCGGGAAACCGUAGCUAAUACCGGAUAAUAUUUUGAACCGCAUGGUUCAAAAGUGAAAGACGGUUUUGCUGUCACUUAUAGAUGGAUCCGCGCUGCAUUAGCUAUGUGGUAAGGUAACGGCUUACCAAGGCAACGAUGCAUAGCCGACCUGAGAGGGUGAUCGCCCACACUGGAACUGAGCCACGGUCCAGACUCCUACGGGAGGCAGAAGUAGGGAAGCUUCCGAAAUGGGCGAAAGCCUGACGGAGCAACGCCGCGUGAGUGAUGAAGGUCUUCGGAUCGUAAAACUCUGUUAUUAGGGAAGAACAUAUGUGUAAGUAACUGUGCACAUCUUGACGGUACCUAAUCAGAAAGCCACGGCUAACUACGUG
This 497-nucleotide ribosomal RNA is filed under the name uncultured bacterium. RNAcentral describes it as "partial 16S ribosomal RNA". It matches the Rfam family "Bacterial small subunit ribosomal RNA", at positions 28 to 507 of the family's 1533-position model. The record is from RNAcentral.